Phrynosoma platyrhinos (Desert horned lizard) is the source of this 74-nucleotide non-coding RNA. The record is from the annotation of a GenBank genome assembly. NCBI's taxonomy places the organism in Eukaryota, Metazoa, Chordata, Lepidosauria, Squamata, Phrynosomatidae.
GACAGAGUAGUGUAAUGGUUAGAGUGUGUUGGACUAUGACUCUGGAAACCAGGGUUCGAGUCCCUGCUCAGACA